Molecule: unclassified non-coding RNA, 413 nt
Filed under: soil metagenome
Description: partial contains 5.8S ribosomal RNA, internal transcribed spacer 2, and large subunit ribosomal RNA
Rfam family: 5.8S ribosomal RNA (bases 3-120)
Source: RNAcentral
GGUGAAGAACGCAGCGAAAUGCGAUAAGUAAUGUGAAUUGCAGAAUUCAGUGAAUCAUCGAAUCUUUGAACGCACCUUGCGCUCUUUGGUAUUCCGAAGAGCAUGCCUGUUUGAGUGUCAUGAAAAUAUCAACCUUGACUUGGGUUUUGUGCUCUAGUCUCGGCUUGGAAUUGGGUGCUUGCCGCUUUUACGAGCGGCUCACCUUAAAUGUAUUAGCUGGAUCUGUCUUUGAGACUUGGUUUGACUUGGCGUAAUAAGUAUUUCGCUAAGGACAUUCUUCGGAGUGGCCUCGUUUCUAGGACGCUUGUCCGCUUUCCAAUACAAGUUCCACCUCGUGGACAUGACUUUUUAUUAUCUGGCCUCAAAUCAGGUAGGACUACCCGCUGAACUUAAGCAUAUCAAUAAGCGGAGGA